Molecule: transfer RNA, 87 nt
Filed under: Microthrixaceae bacterium
Lineage: Bacteria; Bacillati; Actinomycetota; Acidimicrobiia; Acidimicrobiales; Microthrixaceae
Also listed under: 1 other name
Description: tRNA-Ser
Rfam family: tRNA
About the family: Transfer RNA (tRNA) molecules are approximately 80 nucleotides in length.
Source: RNAcentral
GGAGAGUUGCCAGAGCGGACGAAUGGGACGGUCUCGAAAACCGUUGAGGUCGCAAGGCCUCCGAGGGUUCGAAUCCCUCACUCUCCG